AGUGAACGCUGGCGGUAGGCCUAACACAUGCAAGUCGAACGGCAGCACAGUAAGAGCUUGCUCUUACGGGUGGCGAGUGGCGGACGGGUGAGGAAUACAUCGGAAUCUACUUUUUCGUGGGGGAUAACGUAGGGAAACUUACGCUAAUACCGCAUACGACCUACGGGUGAAAGCAGGGGAUCUUCGGACCUUGCGCGAUUGAAUGAGCCGAUGUCGGAUUAGCUAGUUGGCGGGGUAAAGGCCCACCAAGGCGACGAUCCGUAGCUGGUCUGAGAGGAUGGUCAGCCACACAGGAGCUGAGACACGGUCCAGACACCGACGGGAGGCAGCAGUGGGGAAUAUUGGACAAUGGGCGCAAGCCUGAUCCAGCCAUACCGCGUGGGUGAAGAAGGCCUGCGGGUGGUAAAGCCCUUUUGUUGGGAAAGAAAAGCAGCAGGUUAAUACCCCGCUGUGCGGACGGAACCCAAAGAAUAAGCACCGGCGAACUUCGU
Molecule: ribosomal RNA, 491 nt
Filed under: uncultured bacterium
Lineage: Bacteria
Description: partial 16S ribosomal RNA
Rfam family: Bacterial small subunit ribosomal RNA
Source: RNAcentral